UGCUACCUAAGUGGACAGUUUGAUUUCACAGAAGUGUGAUUGACUUGGAGUUACAUUGUGUUGUUUAAGUGUUCCCUUUAUUUUUUUGAGCAGUGUAUAUAUUAGAGUGCAGCCGUAUUAGUCCAGUGAUGCAGAUGUAAAAAAGCAGAUAAAAAUUUGUAUCUUGUAACAUUAUUGGACUAACAAGAUUUUUAAUGACAAGUCUAAAGCAUUUCUGAGCAAGACAACAUAUAUAAUUCAACUUUGAAUUCUAU
Pelobates cultripes (western spadefoot toad) is the source of this 254-nucleotide non-coding RNA. The record is from the annotation of a GenBank genome assembly. NCBI's taxonomy places the organism in Eukaryota, Metazoa, Chordata, Amphibia, Anura, Pelobatidae.